AGAGCUCAUGCUUCCACUCUGUUUCCUCAGAUACUGGCAAGGAAAGCUCUCCCGUCUCUCACUGGGAGACUUUGGGCCUUUCUCAUGUAAUCUUUUGAAGGACGGGAGGUUGUCUUCACUCUCCAAUGCAAACAGCUUCCACAGCUAACAGGUCUCUUUUUCAUGGUGCCCUAUUUUAAAGCAGAGGAUGGAAAUAAAAUUAAGACACUUAACUGCCCAAUGUCUUCCUUCUUAGUAAGUGUUAGGAGAAAGGAGCCGAAGCAGCAAGGAUGGGCAUCGUUUGUGGAAAUCAUCAUGAGCAGAUUUUAUUAGCACAAUGGGGGCAGCAUCUUUGGCCGUUGCUCAUUGGCAAGUUAAUUUAUCUCCUUGGAUCCUAUCUUAUACAGGGUCCCUGCUGUUUGGAAGGGAGUAGAUAAGGACACGGAGGAAUUCCACUGCUGAGGGGCAGAAGUGAAAGCAUCACCCCUGCCAUCCGAGUAGAUAUGGAGGCAAGGGGACAGUUGCCUGUGUCCCUGCCUCCCUCCUUCAGGUUGAUCGUUGGCAUGGAUGCUGGUCAGAUGUGCAGCUGGGCGCGGUGGUUCAUGCCUGUCAUCCCAGCACUUUGGGAGGCCGAGGCAGGAGAUCACCUGAGGUCAGGAGUUCAAGACCAGCCUGGACAACAUGAUGAAACCCCAUCUCUAAAAGUAUAAAAGUUAGCUGGACAUGGUGGUGCAUGUCUGUAAUCCCAGCUACUUGGGAGGCUGAGGCAGGAGAAUUGCUUGAAACUGGGAGGUGGAGGUUGCAGUGACCCGACAUGGUGCUACUGUACCAACCGGGGUGAUGGAACAAGACUCUGUCUCAAAAAAAAAAAAAAAGAUUAAAAAAGCUGUGCAGCUGAAAGCAGAGGGACAUCUGCCUCCUGCUUCACCUGGAAGGCCAGGAGAAGCCCACAUUCAACACAGCACUGUCCUCAUGCAGCACGGCCCCUGACAGAGGGUAGGAAUGAAUGUGGGGACCUGGGGCAGGCCCUACAGCCUGCAAGAGGCAGGCCAAAGAUCUAGCAACUGUGUACACCCCAGAGUGGGGCUGGGAGUGCUCUGAGACUGGUGAAUGAUAGAGGCCUAGAGGAAGAAGCCAGAGUAGGAAGAUCUGUGAUCAGAUGCAAGGACUGGAAUCACAGACUCCAGCAGUGAGUAACAUCACAAUGCCCCUGUCCUAAAUGAAAUCAGUGAGUCCUUCGAGAGAUCUGAGGCUGGGGACCAGGCCAGACCAGCCAAUUCACAUGGGAAACCAGCAUGGGACCAGAGCACCCGGUACACUUAUCCACAUAGCCCUGGGCAUCCAGACACUAUGGAGAAACUGAGAACUCUGAAAGAUUGUGCCGCUACACCAAGGAAAAGGGUUCUUUGAGCCAGAAUUUGACAAACAGGCAAACUUAAUUGAGUAUCCCUGCUCCUCACCACCCUACCCCAAAACCCAUUGAGAUAAGGCUCAUGGGAAGAGUGAGCCAGUCUAGAGAAAUAUAGAUAGGGCUUCACUGUGUCACCCAGGCUGGAGGGCAGUGGUGCCAUCACUAGUCACUGCAGCCGCAAACUCCUGGGCUUCAGUGAUCUUUCUGCCUCAGCCUCUCCAGUGCCUGGAACUACAGCAGCCCUUUUCACUCUCAAAAGUGCCCCAGAUUGGGGGAAGAGUCUGGAACUAAGCAGAGGAUUCAGAAACCUAAAUGGAUAAGCCUGGGUGAAGUUUCUCCUCCCCCGGCUUCAGGAAGAAAAACACUGGAGAAGCCCAGGCAGCUGACACUCAGAUGCCAUCUAGGUGAAAGAAAACUACAUUCAGCUUUCUGCAUCAGACAGAAUGGGGCUCAUGCCACAUCAUGAGGUCAUCAAGCAGCUCAUGGAGAGGUUCACCUGGUGAGGAAUGGAGGCUUCCUGCAAACAGCCAUUUUUUAAUAGAACACUGAAAUGGAAGGGAGAAGAUGGCUUCAUAUAUGUUUAAAAAGCCAGUUUUCUGCAGUUACAUCUAGAAACUUGAGAGGAGACAUUCCUGGAGUUGAAUGCUCAUGAAAUUGGGAUGAAGUCUCUCUCCUCUUCCAACCUGCAAGUCUGCUCUCUAGACAAUACCUGCCUGAGCAGGCACUAUUUGAAGGAAGAGGAACUAUUUAUAGCAACCACAGGGAAUGCUGGAGUCAGCUGAGCACAGACCGAGCUCCUUGUCCUUGCUCUCCAGCGCCCCGCUCAAUCCACUGGAGUAGUCUCGUAAAAAUGUGCAAGUUUUGUAAAAAUGUGCAAGUUGCCAGCCUCAGGGCAUAACUCCUCAGUCACUGGUUCUAUUAAAUACACCCCCAGGUGGAACAAAACAGUUGUGCAGAAGUGGGUAGUGGAAUCCCUGUGCAGAAUACUAUUGACAUCGAAGUCUGGGCUGCAUGAAAUAUGCCAUCUGAGUUCAAUCAUGGGAUUAUUUCCGAAAACAUUUCCCAAAGUUGCUAUACACAGACAACUGCUUCUUAGUAAAUGCAAAAGAAAGGCGUAUUUUCUCAUAAAAUUGGAACACUGAGUCUCUUGAUGGUGACAGUGGGUGUUUCUAGUUUGAUUACAUAUUGGAAACAUUUCUAGCGGGGGCCUCAGUGUCUCUGAUGCUGAGAACAUGAAGGUGCUGCAUAUCUCCUCUUCAUCUCCCACUUUCCCAGUCCUCUAGACAUCAAAUGAAGCUAUGCAGAGAAAACAUAAGCCCCGCAAGGGCAUGAAUUUGAAAGUAUGUGUGUGUUUGUUGGUGGCAGGUAGUAGAGGCUGAGAUGAUGGAGGAGGGGGGAUGGGAGUGAGUAUACCUCAUCAAAUUUAGUGGGUAACUGACUUGGCAAGCACAGUGAUGAAAUCAUUCUUGCAUAUUAAAGAAGUCACCCCGAUCCUUUAUUGUUUGUUUCUUGUCUCCAUUCCCCUUUCUCUUUGAAAAACAAAACACUCAGAAAAAUAU
Molecule: long non-coding RNA, 2949 nt
Organism: Callithrix jacchus (white-tufted-ear marmoset)
Lineage: Eukaryota; Metazoa; Chordata; Mammalia; Primates; Cebidae
Source: RefSeq, a predicted model, not a curated record